Molecule: ribosomal RNA, 441 nt
Filed under: uncultured archaeon
Lineage: Archaea
Description: bacterial SSU rRNA
Rfam family: Archaeal small subunit ribosomal RNA
Source: RNAcentral
CCCUAAUGCUAUCGAGUGCGACUAGCCCUGCGAGUCGUCAUCCCGAUGCGUGGCAUACGGCUCUGUAACGCGUACUCAACCCGCCCUUAGGACGUGGAUAACCUCGGGAAACUGAGGAUAAACCGCGAUAGGUCAUAAUUUCUGGAAUGGUUUAUGGCUGAAAUCUAUAUGGCCCCUGGAUUGGACUGCGGCCGAUCAGGCUGUUGGUGAGGUAAUGGCCCACCAAACCUGUAACCGGUACGGGCUCUGAGAGGAGGAGCCCGGAGAUGGGCACUGAGACAAGGGCCCAGGCCCUAUGGGGCGCAGCAGGCGCGAAAACUCUGCAAUAGGCGAAAGCUUGACAGGGUUACUCUGAGUGAUGUCCGCUAAGGAGAUCUUUUGGCACCUCUAAAAAUGGUGCAGAAUAAGGGGUGGGCAAGUCUGGUGCAGCCCGCCGCGGUA